AUAGGUCACUCCAGCCUGUGUGGGUUUAUCACGAUUCAGUGUUAAUUUCUGGCCAACUGGAAAGCGAAGUACUCCAGGUAGACAGAACCAGCAACCCCACCUCCAUGCCUGACCCUGUCUUUGAACUGCUCCCAGGAGCCACUGUCUGCAAGAGGGACCCUGAGGCCCAUCACAGGCUUCAGCUCUCCCACUCCUGGGGAAUGAAUGCACCUGUCCACUACACUGUCCCUACAUUCCCCCGCGUGACCUGCUCGGACUGCAUGGGGACCAAGAGUGCCGUCCUCACCCUUAACUCUGGGCUCAGCCCUGUCACUUCUUGGGACUUCAGCCAACAGGAUGCAGCAAGAGGCUGAAAAGGUGCCUGCACAGAAUGAACUACAGGACAUGGAAUGUGGAAGAUGAGCCUUUUGCAAAGAACAGUGCAGCUCACCCUGGAGGCAUCUUUCAGCCACCUGAGGCUCCUCCCGUGACAGCGAUGGCAAACUCUUGCACAACCAUCUCACACUUACCAGACACUGUUCUAGCACUUUCUGUAGGAACCCACUGAUCUAAUCCUCACAUCAACCCCAGGAAGUAGCUUCCACUAUCCGUCCCAUUUUACAGAAAAGGAGUCUGAGGGAGAGAUGCACAUUAGGAAACACACAAGACACAUGGUGCGUAAAUGUUACCGUCUGUAGGAAGAAUGCUGCCAGAACAUCUGUUAGUUCCCCGCAGGUAUCUCCUUCCGACCUGUGGAAGCCACCAUUUCUCACUUUCUCACUUUCACACCUCAUAAUCCUUCUGGCCUUUACUCUAAGGAAAUAGUAGGUUUUUAAGACUUUGGUACCAAAUAAUCAGUGUUUCUCCUAGGCAAAUGGCAGGUUUCUAUCAGCCUAAAUUUGCAACUGAUUAGGUUCUCACUAGAAAAUCUGAAGCCAGAUAUCUAGUCCAUUUGCAGCAAAUGCCCCAAAUCUUUACACUAGUCAUGUCUAUCCUCACUCCUGGAUCUAUUAUCCUCCAGCCUCUAUAAUAUGUUUUCUUUUUUAUGUUUAAUUUUAAUGUAUACAGUGGUGGAUUUUAUAUAUCUUUGAAAGCUUCCCUAAAUCCUUCUUGAAACACAGGGAGAUAUAAAUAAAUAAACAGACUCAAGCAAGCCUAAGAAAAACAAUAUCAAUAUAAAAACAAAGCAAAGCAUGCCUAUAACUUCCACAGGAUACAUUUUCUUGGUACACAUUUGUGUUUGUUUGCUUUUAACACCAUGUUCUGUUAAUUCCAAUUGUUAUAAGUGGCGUGUAUUCUAGACUUGAGCAAUAAAUGG
Molecule: long non-coding RNA, 1297 nt
Organism: Heterocephalus glaber (naked mole-rat)
Lineage: Eukaryota; Metazoa; Chordata; Mammalia; Rodentia; Bathyergidae
Source: Ensembl